GAUGAAGAACGUAGCGAAAUGCGAUAAGUAAUGUGAAUUGCAGAAUUCAGUGAAUCAUCGAGUUUUUGAACGCAUAUUGCGCCCUCUGGUAUUCCGGGGGGCAUGCCUGUUCGAGCGUCAUUAAAUAACCCUCAAGCAUAGCUUGGUGUUGGGCUUUUUUACGUCCUUGACUGGGAUGGGCCUAAAAAUUAGUGGCGAUGGCUUUUUUACUUUCAAGCGUAGUAAAUCUCGUCUUGCUAAAGAGGAAAAAGACUUUUUUUCUGCCAAAAAUUUUAACAUUUAAAGUUGACCUCGGAUCAGGUAGGAUUACCCGCUGAACUUAAGCAUAUCAAUAAGCGGAGGA
Molecule: unclassified non-coding RNA, 343 nt
Filed under: soil metagenome
Description: partial contains 5.8S ribosomal RNA, internal transcribed spacer 2, and large subunit ribosomal RNA
Rfam family: 5.8S ribosomal RNA (bases 1-120)
Source: RNAcentral